RNAcentral lists this ribosomal RNA (450 nucleotides) under uncultured bacterium. RNAcentral's name for it is "bacterial SSU rRNA". It matches the Rfam family "Bacterial small subunit ribosomal RNA", at positions 354 to 796 of the family's 1533-position model. The record is from RNAcentral.
GUGGGGAAUAUUGGACAAUGGGCGAAAGCCUGAUCCAGCCAUGCCGCGUGUGUGAAGAAGGUCUUCGGAUUGUAAAGCACUUUAAGUUGGGAGGAAGGGCAGUAAGUUAAUACCUUGCUGUUUUGACGUUACCGACAGAAUAAGCACCGGCUAACUUCGUGCCAGCAGCUGCGGUAAUACGAAGGGUGCAAGCGUUAAUCGGAAUUACUGGGCGUAAAGCGCGCGUAGGUGGUUUUGUAAGUUGGAGGUGAAAUCCCCGGGCUCAACCUGGGAACUGCCUCCAAAACUACUGAGCUAGAGUACGGUAGAGGGUAGUGGAAUUUCCUGUGUAGCGGUGAAAUGCGUAGAUAUAGGAAGGAACACCAGUGGCGAAGGCGACUACCUGGACUGAUACUGACACUGAGGUGCGAAAGCGUGGGGAGCAAACAGGAUUAGAUACCCCGGUAGUCC